CUACGGGGUGCUCCAGUGAGGAAUAUUGCGCAAUGGGCGAAAGCCUGACGCAGCGACGCCGCGUGAAGGAUGAAGGUCUUCGGAUUGUAAACUUCUGUUAAGUGGAAAGAAAGACUUGCUUUUAAUAGAAGCAAGGGAUGACGGUACCAUUAGAGAAAGCACCGGCUAACUUCGUGCCAGCAGCCGCGGUAAUACGAAGGGUGCAAGCGUUAUUCGGAAUCAUUGGGCGUAAAGGGUGCGUAGGCGGCCUUUCAAGUCUGUUGUUAAAUACCUCGGCCUAACCGAGGAUCUGCAGUGGAGACUGAUUGGCUAGAGUAUGGAAGAGAGAAGUAGAAUUCUCGGAGUAGCGGUAAAAUGCGUAGAUAUCGAGAGGAAUACCAAUGGCGAAGGCAGCUUCUUGGUCCAUAACUGACGCUGAGGCACGAAAGCGUGGGGAGCAAACAGGAUUAGAUACCCCCGUAGUC
Molecule: ribosomal RNA, 464 nt
Filed under: uncultured bacterium
Lineage: Bacteria
Description: partial 16S ribosomal RNA
Rfam family: Bacterial small subunit ribosomal RNA
Source: RNAcentral